Chionomys nivalis (European snow vole) is the source of this 4155-nucleotide long non-coding RNA. RefSeq lists it as uncharacterized. The transcript is spliced from 2 exons. The record is from RefSeq and is a predicted model, not a curated record. Lineage: Eukaryota; Metazoa; Chordata; Mammalia; Rodentia; Cricetidae.
CCCUCCCGGAUCCGCCGCCGCCCCCUCCCACCGCCUCCGUACGCACGCCCCCGCCAGGGCCCGCGCCGCUUCCCCGAAGGCUCCCAGAACACGGCCAAUGGGGAGAUCAACCGUGGACUUGGAUUAGAUGCUGAGGCACCUACUCGGUGCCACUGAUCUCCGACAGGGCUCGGAAGAAAAGAAGGGCUACAAGACAAGCUCAAAUCGCUGGGUCGCCCUGAAUGCUCGCCAGGUUCAGGUUCUGCGCGCUUGCAGCCCUUUUCUCCCCAAGUCGUCAACGUCGGUGUGCCCAACGUGCAGCUCGCCGAGGUUCAAGAAAAGGGGUAGCGAGGCCGCUCCACGGCUCAUAGAUGUCCGUUUGGAGCUGAAAGCCACGGAACACCCUGGGUCUGGGAACUCCCACGCCCUGGAUCCCCGCCCUCCUGCAUUCCCCUUUUCCCAAUUCCUGGGGUUCGUGGACCUAGCAAUGCCACCUCCCGCCCCAGAAGAAGAGCCCCCCCCCGCCCCCAUGCACUCGUCAGGAGGACUAGUACCUUCUCGCAUCUGCGGAUCGAACCCUUCCUGCCAUCAAAGCAAGCCUAGUUCCGGGCAGGUGGUGCCCCAGAAGCUGGCUCGAAAGGGGCCCCGGCGGGAGCUCCUUCCCUUAGAGUGAGGGCACGCUCUGGGCGUGUCCGUGUGUCCCUUUGUAUGUCUAUGUGUGUUGGGCUUCGUUCCACAUGAACUCUGCCUAGCCUAUUCCUCGCGCUGCGGGACUUCGGGGGAGGGGCCCCAGAGCUGGGCAGCGACUUCUUCGCAUCUCUGAUCGUUUUCUUAUAGACACUAGACACCCCGAUCAAGCCACCCCCAUACCCACGCCUCUUUUUUUUUUUUUCUUCUGGAUAGCGGCACCGCCUGGCUGGGAUUCCAGUCCAGGUUCCAGUACCCCUGGGGACUAUGGACAAGGGUCUGGGCUGCAUCGUGGCCCCAAGUCAGAACCAGAAUUGGGCCUGGGAACUCAUUCCAAGCUCCAAUUAUGUAGAAAGGGUAACUAAGGCAGGGAGAACCCAAAUCGGGUUUUAAAAGACUGAAAGAGCUUCAGCUACCAGCUGGCCUGGUUGGCCCCGCAAACCGCCCCCCAUCUUUUCCAAUAAGCCGUCGAUUGGUUGCCCCACAGUCUUUUACAGGGCGCUGGGCCAGACAAGGUCCCGACCGUCAGUCCGGGAUCCACAGGCAGCCCUCGGACAGUAGAUCCCAGAAGUGGGCAGUGGGCAUCGCCGGCGGUGAAAGUAGAAGCCAGAUUGACAGAGAAGCCAUUAUCCAGGUCUUCUCUGACGCCUCCUCCAAGCCCCAAGCCCCAGGGGCGCCCCACUGCCUACGUUCCACAUCUUCGCAUUUAACCAUCCGGAGUCCGGACUGCGAGUCUCCGUGGCCCCUGCAUGCCCGAUGCAUCAUCGCUAGACCGCCGCUUCCGGGCGCCAGAGGGACCCCUCGGCCCGCACGCGGCCGUCCUGGGCUCGGUGCAGGGAGAGAGUGCGGGGCUCCCGCUCCAGCGUGUCUUCUGCCCUGAACCGAGCACAGGAAUCCGCAGCGCCUCACGCCCGGGCGCCCCCUAAGUCCCCCCCCCCUUGGGACCCAGGAUUAGCCUCGUGCCUCUCUGGGCGGGACGUGCAACGGAGCCACACUAGCUGAGAAGCAACUCCGGAGGAAUAACCAGGGGCGCUGCGCUGCUUGGAGAUUAGCCCCCUACUCCCAGCCUAGUGCGGAGGGACGCGGGGACCCCGCGCAGGCUUAGCGCUUCGGCCCCAGCGGCGCCUCCCCCACGCGUCUGACACGAAGCAGUUCCCGGCCCGGCCCUGCGGCGAGGCUAUCCCCGCUCUGAGUGCGUGGGCGCGGGAGACUAGCCUGGCCCUUCCUCUGCAGGUGUGUAGAGGGAGCUGGAGUGCUUAGCUCGAUUUUGUGUCUUGAGGCCCAGGAGCGGACCGGGACUCCGAUUUUUACCAUCCUGGAGACCUCAGCGGCUUGGUACUUUUACACUUAGGUACUGAGGAUGCGUAACCUUUUGACAGAGGAUGAUGGGAGCAGGUGGAUCAGAGGGUAGAAAGAGUCCCGGGCCUGUGACCAGGGGCGACAAUACCUUUGGGAUCUACGGAGCCUAGGCUAGGGAAGACAGCCAAGGGCACAGUCCACUGGGCCACCUUUGCGAAGUGUUCUGUCCACUUGGAGGCGCUAUGCGAACCCCUACUGGAACCACCCAGCGCAGGUGGGCAACCACACUAGAAGAAGCCUCUUUAAAUCCUUUCCAGCCAUUCUCAGGAUCCUGGGUUGGGAGAAUCCACCCUGGUCGUUACAAAGUUGGCUCUGCUUCCCAUUGUUCUGACUGUCUAGAAGCCCAGGGGGCCUGGGGAAAGGAAAGGAAGUGUAUCUUACCCAAAAACCAUCCGAGGGGAACCCAAGGAGCCGAUGAGGGCUACACUGACUCCUUACACAAAGACAGUUAUUUCUCUCUGCCUGGCCCGGAUACCACAUCCCAGAGCUUGGAAUUGAGAGAACUUGAGUUUGGUUCCAAGCACAGAAGGCAAGUGGCUCACAACCGCAUGGAACUCCAGUCCCAGAAGAUCCGUGACCUCUGACCCCCAUGGGCACCUUUAGCCAUGUGUGUACAGGAACACACACACACACACUGAAAUCUAGUGGUGAGCAUUCCUCCCUGCUGAGCCCCUUACCAGACCCUGGUUGUCCUUUUUCAAGACCUCCUUCUGUAUUUGCUCACGUGUCUGGUUAAGGCAUGCUUUGGCUAUUGUUCUCGCCGAUGAGGAAAAGCACAGAGGCCCACCAUAGGAGGUCUGGUGGAAAUGUGAUGGCCAUCAAGCCCUACCUCCAUUCCAGUUAGGAGUCCUUGUCAGGAAAAUGAAAGAGCUUGGUAGGAAUCGGGGCCCAGCACAUCCCUAGCCACUGUGCAGGUGGGCGAGGCUGUAGGGGACUCUGGGCUCCAGAGCAUCUCGCGUGGCUUCUCCAUCUGAAGCUGGCCUUGCUCACUGCACCCACUGCCAAAAUACAAGGGAGCGGGCCCUGCUGCUCUGGGGACCUAGUCGUCACAGGCAACUCACUCCCCUCCACCUUCUGAGGCCUCCUUCCUUUUGAGCCAGCCAGGAAGCUACUGGCCCAAUCCUGCUGGGGACAGGGACCUGCAUGGUCUCUCAGCCAGCCCUCCCCUCCCCGUCCUGCUCUGGGGCUGAACCCAGCUUAGGAGAGCUUGCUCUGGCGACUUGUUUGUUGUCCUAGUAAGCAUUCAUUUGCAGGUGGGAAUGAAGCGGCCCAGCUCUUCUAAGCAGGGCUUUCAGAUGCCAGCGAGAUCUUGGGCACUUAGCACAGUGUAAACAUUCCUAGUGUUUGCUCUCAGUUUGGCAGACAUUUUCCAGAGCGUCUGCCGAGGGCAGGCAAGGUGCCAGGGCCAGUGAUGAACAGAAUACCGACCCCCAUCUCUGAGAGCUCUCCGUCCAGUACAGUAGGCAGAUAAAGUACACUUUCCUCCCCGAGCCCCCGGGCACAGGUCAGGGCUACCACAGAGAAGUAGUGUCUGCUGACCAGGUGACAUUGGAGCAAGGUCUGGAAGAGUGAGGGAGGCACAGAAGUAGUUUGCAUGAUCAACACAGGAACUGCACGUGUAGGUCAAUGGCAGAACGCUCACCUGGCAUGCACAAGGCCUUGGGUUCAAUCCCCAAUAUCACACGCUCACAGACAACAUUCAGCAUCAUGAACAGUGUAAGCAAGUGUGGCAGGGUGUUUACCUUGUCAGUCAUGAAAUGCUAAACGGGUGUCAUACGGGAUGUGAUAGAAACAGACAGACAGACUUUAGGUAGAUAGGGAGCCUGGCUGAGUGUCCAUCCACCUCUGAGCAAAGGCAGUGGUGUGCUCUGUGUCUGACAUGCUCUGAGGUCCCAGACGAAAGGACUGGAGGGGCAACAGAGACCAUGAGAUUCCACUUCAUGAAGGCUGUAGCAGAGGCCAGAGAAGAUUGGAACUUGAGGACGUCUUAGGGAAUUAAUGAUAGCCCAAGACAUUUGGCAUUGGCUUGGAUUUUGAACAAGAAGGAUGGUAGAGGGAAGUUUCUGUCCCACCUGAUCUGGCAGCCAUUCAGUCCCAAAUAAACACACAGAGGCUUAUAUUGAUUGUAAA